GCCCAGGGAGCCCCAGGUUGGCCUCAAGCACAAGGCAGAGGCCGACUGGCUCCUCCUGGGCCUUAGGGCCCUCAGGACCCGUGUUUCCCGGCCACCCUCCCAGUGGCUGCCCCCUGCCAGGCCCACAAGUGUCAACGCCCCCGGCUUUGUCUAAGGUAGGGACCAGAAAGUGUCAGUCCGGAGCGAAAUGUGGCCCAAGAAGUGACAGCAAGGGGAACCGUGUCCCUGGCUAGAUGGGGACAGGCAGGGGCCCGUCCGGUGGCCUCCUGCCUGACCAUGUAGUGAACCCCACGUGGAGGAGGUUGGUCUCUAUCUUGGAGGCCCCGGGCACUACCGUCCAUUGGCCAGCACCAGGGCUGCCUCCACUCCCACCAGGCCCUGCUGCAGUCCCCGAUCUGCUGGCCCCAUUUCUGCCCUGCACCCCGUCUCCCAGGCCUGCACCCCACAGUCAGAGGAGCCUCUCACAGCCGUGCUGGUCCUGUCUUCCUUUAAAAUCCCUCCUGUCAGCUGCUCCCUGGGUCCCUCAAGGUGAAAGCACAGCCCUUGUCAUCGCCCAGGAAGCCCAGACUCAGACCCGAGGACUGGUGGGAAGUAGCCGCAGGUCCUCACCUCACUGCACGGUCCACACAGGCUUGUUCUCAGCCCCAGGACCUUUGCACACGCUGUUCCUCCUGCCUCACCCUCCUGUGGACAGGCCCUCCCUGCCCUCUGCCCCUCCUGCAUGACAUUGUCACUGUUUGAGGUGAGCUUUUACUGUUUAAGGUUUGGUGCAGGAUCUGAGUCUCCCGAGUGCUCCCGAGUGAGGAGGAAGGACAGCUUCCUGUUCCAGAAGGGCAGCUCCUGCCUGAGCUCGGUUCCUGGCACCUUUUGUCCCUUGGUCAGUGUUCCUUGGAGGAGGGAGGCCGCAGCAGGUUGGUGGCCGCAGGACUUGAACCCAGGCCCACCUAACUCCACAACCCAGCGGCUCUCUGGGUCCCGGCUUCCUCCCGAGCAGCGGUCAGCCCAGCGGCAGCGGCUCUUCCCCGGGGACAUGCUCCCGGCCAGCCUCGUCCUCAGCCCUGGCCGCUACAGACGCUGCCCAUGAAUCAAGCUGACGUUUCCAUUACCCGCGGGAAACGAGUGUGUGGCCAGGCACGGGGUGGCUUCGGCGGGGGUGGUGGGGACAAUUGCUGGUCACUGUCACCAGCCUAGGAGGACGUCAACCCUGUUAACUCGUCACCUCCCGCCAGAGGGUGAACCCUGGCCCCAGGUUCGCCUGCACCUGGCAGAAGAGGGGCCACCGGGCAGAGGAGCCCAGGGCCUCUGAGGGUCACAUGCGGGGGCCACCAGGCUCAGCACACAGCCGGGCACAGGGAGCCGGGGCCUGUGGGGACAGAGAGGCUGAGCUCGGGCGCCCAGGGGAGAGCAGGGCCGCGGGUCGGGCCCGGUGUGGUGUCCACACCACAGGCACACACCCAAGGCCAUCAGGGUCAGCACAAGUCCACUCAGCACAGGGGACUGUUCUCUGGGAAAGCGCUUUGCAGGGGCAGAGGAAGGCACCCCGUCCUCUGUGUGUUCCCCAGGGGCCCCCAGGUGGCAUGCCCCUCCUCCCAAGCCAACAGUGGCCUUAGUUCCCUCCAAGUAACUCUCAGUGGCUCCUGGAUUAGUCACCUGAACAUCCUGGAAGUGCUCCCUGUUAUCUAACCAGCAGCCCUCUUGUUACACUGGAAAAUAGCUAGUUUCCAGCCCCUUCCGGACGUGCUCAGGAGGAGACAGGAGGACUUGAAGUCCCAGUGGCCCCGUGACCCUCCUACCUCUUCCCUUCCCAUGUGACAGGGGCCCUUGCAAGCCGCCCCCACGCCAUGAUCACACACCAGUGCAGGAUUGUUUAUUUGAUAUUUCCUUUGAGCCACCUCUUUGCUUGUUACUGAAAUGCCCCUUUGGCUUCAUCCCAGAGGGAAGUCCAUGACUCGGUGGCUUGGUGGCUCUGAUGUGGCUGGAGACACUGUUUUCUAACACACAGAAACAUGACUGUUAAAAGAGAUGGAGAUCGUCCCAGUGUCAACUACAGCCACCCCUGGGUCUCCUGGGGCCUGUUGGCCGACUUCAGUUGACCCCGGUGACAAUAAAGCCGCUUGGUGACCUGGGCCGAUUCCUGCCCGACUUGUCCCAGCCGGGCCCCGUUCCUGGAGGCUCUGUCUGACCUGGUCCUGCCGGUCGAGGUCAUGGUCACUGGCCCGUCUCUCCCAGGCUCUGCCCCCCAUGGGGGGUCCUCGGUAUCCAC
RNAcentral lists this long non-coding RNA (2263 nucleotides) under Marmota monax (woodchuck). Lineage: Eukaryota; Metazoa; Chordata; Mammalia; Rodentia; Sciuridae. The record is from RNAcentral.